Molecule: transfer RNA, 78 nt
Filed under: candidate division TA06 bacterium
Lineage: Bacteria
Also listed under: 1 other name
Description: tRNA-Arg
Rfam family: tRNA
About the family: Transfer RNA (tRNA) molecules are approximately 80 nucleotides in length. Their secondary structure includes four short double-helical elements and three loops (D, anti-codon, and T loops).
Source: RNAcentral
GCGCCAGUAGCUCAGUUUGGAUAGAGCAACGGAUUUCUAAUCCGUAGGUCGCAGGUUCGAAUCCUGCCUGGCGUACCA